GUGGGGAAUAUUGGACAAUGGGCGAAAGCCUGAUCCAGCCAUGCCGCGUGAGUGAUGAAGGCCUUAGGGUUGUAAAGCUCUUUCAGUAGGGAAGAUAAUGACGGUACCUACAGAAGAAGCCCCGGCUAACUUCGUGCCAGCAGCCGCGGUAAUACGAAGGGGGCUAGCGUUGUUCGGAUUUACUGGGCGUAAAGCGCACGUAGGCGGAUUGGUCAGUUAGAGGUGAAAUCCUGGAGCUCAACUCCAGAACUGCCUUUAAUACUGCCAGUCUAGAGUCCAGAAGAGGUGAGUGGAACUCCUAGUGUAGAGGUGGAAUUCGUAGAUAUUAGGAAGAACACCAGUGGCGAAGGCGGCUCACUGGUCUGGUACUGACGCUGAGGUGCGAAAGCGUGGGGAGCAAACAGGAUUAGAAACCCCGGUAGUCC
RNAcentral lists this ribosomal RNA (425 nucleotides) under uncultured bacterium. RNAcentral's name for it is "bacterial SSU rRNA". It matches the Rfam family "Bacterial small subunit ribosomal RNA", at positions 354 to 796 of the family's 1533-position model. The record is from RNAcentral.